GCCCCGAUAGUUUAGUGGCUAGAAUUGAGGAUUGUGGCUCCUUAGAUGCAGGUUCAAAUCCUGCUCGGGGCACCA
This 75-nucleotide transfer RNA is filed under the name Candidatus Heimdallarchaeum aukensis. RNAcentral describes it as "tRNA-His". It matches the Rfam family "tRNA". Rfam says of the family: Transfer RNA (tRNA) molecules are approximately 80 nucleotides in length. The record is from RNAcentral. Lineage: Archaea; Promethearchaeati; Candidatus Heimdallarchaeota; Candidatus Heimdallarchaeia (ex Rinke et al. 2021) (nom. nud.); Candidatus Heimdallarchaeales; Candidatus Heimdallarchaeaceae. RNAcentral also lists the same sequence under 1 other name.